Molecule: long non-coding RNA, 353 nt
Organism: Epinephelus moara (kelp grouper)
Lineage: Eukaryota; Metazoa; Chordata; Actinopteri; Perciformes; Serranidae
Exons: 3
Source: RefSeq, a predicted model, not a curated record
UGGGACUUGCUUGAGACUUGAAGGUUAAAACUUGAGACUUGCUUAAGACAAGCAAAUGUGUGACUUGACAGAUACCUGACUGAGGUUCUCUGGUCUCCGUCCAAUCAUCACUGUCAUCAGUCUCAGGUUGUAAAUGUGUAUCUGGAUCUGAGUUCCUGGCUGGUUCUGGUCCUCCACAGUCCUCUCCCUCUGCUUCUGUUUCCAUCUGUUCAGUGUGUCUUUGAUGAAGCUGUGAGGACUGAGGUUUCUCUUCAUCAUCUUCACUCUUCACAGGGACAGGAGUGAAUGUGAACUUGAUGAUAUCAUCCUCCUCCAGCCCUUGAAGCUGCUCUCCCUCCUGACUGAUCCAGAGU